GUGGCAGCUGAGCAGGUGACCAGCCUCUACUCCCCAUAGCUCACCCCUUAACUACACACUCUUGCGCCUGCUCUCUCUUCUCUCUCUUAGACCAAGACCUUGGACAAGGCAGGGGUGCUCCAUCGCACCAAGACGGCAGACAAGGGAAAGCGGCUCCGGAAGAAGCACUGGAGUGCCUCCUGGACUGUGCUGGAGGGUGGCGUCCUGACAUUCUUCAAGGACUCAAAGACCUCGGCUGCAGGCGGCCUGAGGCAGCCUUCCAAGUUUUCCACCCCUGAGUACACAGUGGAGCUGAGGGGGGCCACUCUCUCCUGGGCCCCCAAAGACAAAUCCAGUAGGAAGAAUGUGCUGGAGCUCCAUGAACAUGGGAUCUAGAAGCACAUGCCAGGUACCCUGCAAAACAGCUCCAGGAAGGUUUAAUUCAGGAUCCGGGACUGCUUCAGCUACGGAGCCGAGAUGGCUCCGAGUACCUGAUCCAGCACGACUCGGAGGCCAUCAUCAGCACCUGGCAUAAGGCCAUUGCUCA
Molecule: small RNA, 526 nt
Filed under: Pan troglodytes (chimpanzee)
Lineage: Eukaryota; Metazoa; Chordata; Mammalia; Primates; Hominidae
Description: retained intron
Source: RNAcentral